AAGAAACUUAACAUUAGGGAAGACAGCAACUUUUCUUUUUUAAUACAGAGAGACAAUGAGAAUGAAGAGCUUCCCUCAGUGCAGUGGGGGCCAGGCUUGAACCUGGGUCACAGACAUGUCAAAGCAGCGCACUUACCUAAAUAAGCUACUUCACUGACCCAAAACAACAACUGGUAUUAAUGGAAUGGAGGAGGGGCAAACUAUAUUCCAGCAGUUAAGGCUCUGGGCUUUGGAGUCAGGUCUGGGUUGGAAUCAUCCUGUAUUCUAACUUUGGGCAUGUUAUGCGACCCUUGCAUGUCUUUUGUUUUACUGAAAUCAGUGAUUGUCUCACACUUUUAUUUCUUUUAGUGCUGUGGGGCUGAGCUGAAACCACUGUCCAAGGGAGUUAUUUUGUUGGCUUAACCUCAUAGAUGUAAGGGGACUUGAUAGAACACCUCAGGAAAUGAGAGAUCAUUUAUAUAUUUUUGGAUAUUUCAUUUCACUCCUUAGAGACAGACAGGAGCACUGCUUAGUUCUGGUGCGUAGGGUGCCAGGAAUUGGGUUUGGGAGCUCGGGCAUGGAAGUCUGGUUCCCUACCACUUUACACAUCCUCAGCCUCUAAACUUUCUCAGAACAGAAACAAAAAAACCAAAACCAGACAAAAAAGGACAGGAAUCUGAAAUUCUACUUAACAGAGUUGUGUUUGACUUGGUUCUUACACCUGCAGCUGAAAAAAAAAAAAGCGACUUCUGACAGUAUAAAACCCGCCUGCCUUUCUUUUUGAAGAUGAUUAAUCUUUGGUUGGGAAGAGGGGGUUGGGGCUUCCUGUUUUUAGUAGCUGAUUCUUAUGUUAACCAGAGUUGCCACCAAUCUUGAGUUGUAAAGGUGAAUAUUUAAAAUGUCUGCAGGGCUAUGGAGACAGUACAAUGGAUAUGUAAAAGACUUCUGCCUGGGGCUCUCUGGUUCAGUCCCCCAGGCCACUUUAAAUCUGAACUGAAAAGUGCUAUGAUUAAAAAUAGAUGUGGGGAGUUGGGCUGUAGUGCAGCGGGUUAAGCCCUCGGACCGGCCUAGGGAUCCCGGUUCAAGCCCCCAGCUCCCCACCUGCAGCGGAUUCACUUCACAGGUGGUGAAGCAGAUCUGCAGGUGUCUUAUCUUUCUCUCCUCCCUGUAUUCCCCUCCUCCCCAUUUCUCUCUGUCCUAUCCAACAACGACGACUACAACAAUAAAAACAAGGGCAACAAAAAGGAAAUAAUUUUUUUUUUAAAUAGGUGUGGUCUGCAGGUAGGAGAGUGAGCUUGUUGCUUUUCCCUGCCCUUCCCUGAUUUAGCACUAAGAGCCUGGAAUCUGAAAAGGGCCUUAGAAAAGAUUUUAUGGUUUUGAGAUGUUCUUAGGUCUGAGCCCUGGCACCACAGGGGAGGUGCUUUGGUGUUAGAGGAAGCUCAAGUGCUGUUUCUCCAGUACUCCCCCCACUCCCGCUCCCGUAGGAAGCAGCCUCUGACAUCCACAGGCAUUUUUAAACUGACUUGCAGCUGGUGUUUAUGAGUAAGAAGAAUUCUCAGGUAACUGGACCCAAAUUAGGGUGGGGAGGACAGCGUAAUGGUUAUACAAAAGGGUCCCAUGCCUGAGGCUCCCAGGUCUAGUCCCCCACGCCUAAAUAAACUUGUAUAAGCCAGAGCUGAGCUGUGGCCUAGUUUAAAAAAAAAAAAAAAACCAAAAACAUACCCGACUUUUUAAGUUAAGACCAACACCUUGAACAUGGUAACCUAGUGGUUUAGUCCUUAACUAGUCUAGUGGUUUCAAUUUGAUCAGAAUUACAUGUUUGUUACUCUCUGGCACUUGAGGUCCUUAAAGACCGUAUUCUGAGAAGUAAUUUCUCUCACAGGCACCUGAAAGCGGAAUUGUGUGGGCACCUUGCCCUGCGCACUGCCCCAGGUCUGAGCCCGGGCGGCAUGUGGGAGGAGCUCACAUGGGUGGUGUCUGAGGAGCCCUGGCCAGUGAAAUACGUGCGGGCAGCACCCCAGCUCUGAAGACAGAAUUUAUCUUUACAGGAUUUCUUUUGACUUUUCAGUGCAGUGAUGUCUGGAGCUCUUGUGAAUUUUCUGUUCUUUACUAAGUUGUGUGUCCCCCACCCCACUGUUGCAUAUUUCCUUUCUU
Erinaceus europaeus (western European hedgehog) is the source of this 2133-nucleotide long non-coding RNA. RefSeq lists it as uncharacterized. Lineage: Eukaryota; Metazoa; Chordata; Mammalia; Eulipotyphla; Erinaceidae. The record is from RefSeq and is a predicted model, not a curated record. The transcript has 2 exons.